GAUGAACGCUAGCGGCAGGCCUAAUACAUGCAAGUCGAGGGGUAGAUGGGGCUUGCUCCAUUGAGGCCGGCGCACGGGUGCGUAACGCGUAUGCAACCUACCUUGAUCUGGGGGAUAGCCCGGAGAAAUCCGGAUUAACACCGCAUAAAACCACAGCAGGACAUCCUGCAAUGGUCAAACAUUCAUGGGAUCAGGAUGGGCAUGCGUGCCAUUAGCUUGUUGGCGGGGUAACGGCCCACCAAGGCUACGAUGGCUAGGGGAUCUGAGAGGAUGGCCCCCCACACUGGUACUGAGACACGGACCAGACUCCUACGGGAGGCAGCAGUAAGGAAUAUUGGUCAAUGGAGGCAACUCUGAACCAGCCAUGCCGCGUGCAGGAAGACGGCCCUCCGGGUUGUAAACUGCUUUUAUCCGGGAAUAAGCCUAUCUACGUGUAGAUAGCUGAAUGUACCGGAGGAAUAAGGAUCGGCUAACUCCGUGCCAGCCGCCGCAGUAA
This 496-nucleotide ribosomal RNA is filed under the name uncultured bacterium. RNAcentral's name for it is "partial 16S ribosomal RNA". It matches the Rfam family "Bacterial small subunit ribosomal RNA", at positions 28 to 523 of the family's 1533-position model. The record is from RNAcentral.